Molecule: long non-coding RNA, 352 nt
Organism: Eriocheir sinensis (Chinese mitten crab)
Lineage: Eukaryota; Metazoa; Arthropoda; Malacostraca; Decapoda; Varunidae
Exons: 3
Source: RefSeq, a predicted model, not a curated record
AGGAGAGACAGGUUCAGGAAAAAAGGAAAAUGAGAGACAGGUUCAGGAAAAAAGGAAAAGGAGAGACAGGUUCAGGAAAAAAGGAAAAGGAGAGACAGGUUCAGGAAAAAAGGAAAAGGAGAGACAGGUUCAGGAAAAAAGGAAAAGGAGAGACAGGUUCAGGAAAAAAGGAAAAGGAGAGACAGGUUCAGGAAAAAAGGAAAAUGAGAGACAGGUUCAGGAAAAAAGGAAAAGGAGAGACAGGUUCAGGAAAAAAGGAAAAGGAGAGACAGGUUCAGGAAAAAAGGAAAAGGAGAGACAGGUUCAGGAAAAAAGGAAAAGGAGAGACAGGUUCAGGAAAAAAGGAAAAGGG